Oenanthe melanoleuca is the source of this 1339-nucleotide RNA transcript. It is a transcript of the gene named sideroflexin 1, with no coding region annotated. The transcript has 11 exons. The record is from RefSeq and is a predicted model, not a curated record. NCBI's taxonomy places the organism in Eukaryota, Metazoa, Chordata, Aves, Passeriformes, Muscicapidae.
CGGAGCGAGGCGGAGCGCGGCGGCCCCGCCGCCUCCCGGCCGCUCGCCCGCGGUGCCGAGCGAGGCUCUUCCGGGCAGCGGGGCACGGCGGCGCGCGGCCGGCGGCCGGGGAUUGCGUGACAGCGGCACAGAUCCCAGGCCUGCAAGAGACGAGCCUCCCUGCUGCAGGAUCAUCAUUGCCAGGGGAGGAACACGCCAAAUAACUCCAAGAGCUUUUGAAGAUGGCACCAGAUCUCCCAUUAGACAUUAAUAUCAAGGAGCCCCGAUGGGAUCAAAGCACUUUUGUUGGACGAGCCAAUCACUUCUUCACUGUCACAGACCCCAGGAAUAUUUUGUUAUCUAAUGCCUCACUGGAAAAUGCAAGAAAAAUUGUGCAUGAUUACAGGCAAGGCAUUGUGGCACCUGGCUUGACAGAAGAUGAGUUGUGGAGAGCAAAAUACAUCUAUGAUUCAGCUUUUCACCCAGACACUGGGGAGAAGAUGUUUGUGAUCGGCCGGAUGUCUGCCCAGGUCCCCAUGAACAUGACCAUCACAGGCUGUAUGAUGACCUUUUACAGAACGACUCCAGCAGUGCUUUUCUGGCAGUGGGUCAACCAGUCCUUCAAUGCUAUAGUAAAUUACACGAACAGGAGCGGAGAUGCCCCAAUCACUGUCAGCCAGCUGGGAACAGCCUAUGUUUCUGCCACCACAGGUGCUGUUGCUACAGCCUUAGGACUUAAUUUACUAGCAAAGCGUGUCUCACCUCUCGUAGGGAGGUUUGUUCCUUUUGCUGCUGUUGCUUCUGCCAACUGCAUCAAUAUUCCACUAAUGAGACAAAGGGAGCUCAAGUUUGGAAUUCCUGUCACGGAUGAGGAUGGAAACAGACUGGGUGAUUCAUCCAGUGCAGCUCAGCAGGCAAUCGCCCAGGUGGUGAUAUCCAGGAUUCUGAUGGCUUCUCCUGGCAUGGCAAUUCCUCCCUUCAUAAUGAAUACCCUGGAGAAGAAAGCCUUUUUAAAGAUCAGCCAAAAUGAGCGAUUUCUGCAGUGACUACUCAGUGGUCUCUGGUACCAUCCUGACCGUUUAUGCUCACCUGUCCUGCCCCUCAGCCUCAGAGACUGAAUGCAGGCUAUGAAAUGAAAAUUUGGGAUGAAUUUAUCUCAGCCUGAAGGUCUCAUGGAGGUGUUUAGAGAAUGCCAGAACAGCAAAGCUCUGCUGCCUUCACUCUUCACCCUUCUUGCUGUUGUUGUCUGUCCCCAUUUGUUAUCUCUCUGCAGGUUAUUGCUGAAUUGCACAGUUCUUCCUGCACUCAUUUCUGGAUUACAGAUUGGCUCCAUGAAAAUAAAAAAAUUAAGAAAAGAGAA